This 183-nucleotide small RNA is filed under the name Gopherus agassizii (Agassiz's desert tortoise). RNAcentral's name for it is "TUC338 (ENSGAGG00000011727.1)". The record is from RNAcentral. Lineage: Eukaryota; Metazoa; Chordata; Testudines; Testudinidae.
UUGACAACCCUGGAGACUGCAGUCCUUUCUUCAUCCACAGAGCCAGUGUAGCAUAGGCAAUGGCAGGAGAGAUUUCUUCUCCGAAUACGAUGCAACCAAAGUGCCUCUCCCAGGACCAGGAGAGACCACUUCUAGGGAUAAGCAGUUAGUUUGGUCUCUGUGCUCGGCCGCUCCUUGACCUUU